RNAcentral lists this ribosomal RNA (301 nucleotides) under uncultured bacterium. Its description in RNAcentral is "partial 16S ribosomal RNA". It matches the Rfam family "Bacterial small subunit ribosomal RNA", at positions 509 to 809 of the family's 1533-position model. The record is from RNAcentral.
CAGUAGCCGCGGUAAAACGGAGGGUGCAAGCGUUAAUCGGAAUUACUGGGCGUAAAGCGUGCGUAGGCGGUUCGUUAAGUCUGUUGUGAAAGCCCCGGGCUCAACCUGGGAAUGGCAAUGGAUACUGGCGAGCUAGAGUGUGUCAGAGGAUGGUGGAAUUCCCGGUGUAGCGGUGAAAUGCGUAGAGAUCGGAAAGAACACCAACGGCGAAAGCACUCUGCUGGGCCGACACUGACACUGAGAGACGAAAGCUAGGGGAGCAAAUGGGAUUAGAUACCCCAGUAGUCCCUGUCUCUUAUAA